This 724-nucleotide ribosomal RNA is filed under the name uncultured bacterium. RNAcentral describes it as "bacterial SSU rRNA". It matches the Rfam family "Bacterial small subunit ribosomal RNA", at positions 509 to 1245 of the family's 1533-position model. The record is from RNAcentral.
CAGCAGCCGCGGUAAUACGUAGGGGUCAAGCGUUAUCCGGAUUUACUGGGCGUAAAGAGCAUGUAGGCGGUUGCCUAAGUCGGACGUGAAAGCUCCUGGCUCAACUAGGAGAGGCCGUUCGAAACUAGGUAACUCGAGGAUGGUAGAGGAGAGUGGAAUUCCCGGUGUAGUGGUGAAAUGCGUAGAUAUCGGGAGGAACACCAGUGGCGAAGGCGGCUCUCUGGGCCAUUCCUGACGCUGAGAUGCGAAAGCUAGGGGAGAGAACGGGAUUAGAAACCCCGGUAUUCCUAGCCGUAAACGAUGUCAACUAGGUGUAGGAGGUAUUGACCCCUUCUGUGCUGCAGCAAACGCGUUAAGUUGACCGCCUGGGGACUACGGCCGCAAGGCUAAAACUCAAAGGAAUUGACGGGGACCCGCACAAGCAGCGGAGCGUGUGGUUUAAUUCGAGGCUACGCGAAGAACCUUACCAGGGUUUGACAUGGCGGUAGUAGGGAUCCGAAAGGUGACCGACCCUUCGGGGAGCCGUCACAGGUGCUGCAUGGCUGUCGUCAGCUCGUGCCGUGAGGUGUUAGGUUAAGUCCUGUAACGAGCGCACCCCACGUCGUUAGUUAUACGUGUCUACCGAGACUGCCGGUGAUAAGCCGGAGGAAGGUGUGGAUGACGUCACGUCAGCAUGGCCCUUAUAUCCUGGGCUACACACACGCUACAAUGGCCGGUACAACGG